Molecule: long non-coding RNA, 3203 nt
Filed under: Homo sapiens (human)
Lineage: Eukaryota; Metazoa; Chordata; Mammalia; Primates; Hominidae
Description: HSALNT0174845
Source: RNAcentral
AAACACCCAAGAAUUAUCAAUAAAAAAAUAAAUUAAAAAAAAAAAUAAAUAAAUAAAUCCAGCAAAAAUAAAAAUAAAAAAUAAAAUCCCCUUGAAUACAUUUGAGGUAAUGUUGUAGUUUUCAGCUCCUCCCACGAGAGAUUUUAUGGAGUGCCUAACUGUGCUACCCGGGUGCUGCUCCUGUCGUUAGUGGUGGCACCCAGGAGGAAUUAAAAUUACAAGAGUGUUUCCUUCCAGAUGUUGUUGCUACAGGCUCAAGGUGCUCUUUUAACUGGGACAUCAGGCUUUCUUGAAAUAGACAAGAAUUCUAGAAACAUGACAUUGUGCCUGAUUCAUCGCUUCAACUUGCCACUGACUCAUUCUCUCCUUGAUAGGUUAUUCAACAGUAACUUUAAUUACAUCAUUUACUUAUUGUUUUCUUCCUUGAUUUAUUCUCUUUCUACAAUUCUUGUUUAUCAUCUCAGUGAUUGGACCAUCUCACCUCUGAGACUUGGGUAGAAUUCUGUGGACUCUGGAAAUAGACAUGGAGGUUUUCAUGUAUCUCUGUUAAUGUGUACAAACACCCCCAGGCUUGUACACUUGAAAUACAUCAGUAGGAAGGGUAGUUCUCAAUUUGCUAGUGUUUCACACAGCUUGUCUUAUUUAAUGAUCUCAGCUGCCCUAUGAAGUAGAUACCAUCCUAUUAAAAAAUGCAGGAGCAGAGGCUCUGAGAGGGGACUGUAACUUACCCAAGAUCAUGUGGUAGAUUGCAAAACUGGUUCCAAAUCCCUACCCUUCCCUGUACGCACACCUUUUGCCAUUCAUCUGCAAUGUCCUUUUCUGAUUCUGGGCUCAGCAAUAUAACUUGCUCUGGCCAACAGGAUAACAACAGCAAAUGUGAUGUAAGCAAAAGCUUGAGAAAUACUUGUGCAACUAAUCAUGUUUGCCUUCUCUCUUGUACCUGUGCCAUUGCCAUGAGAACAUGCCUGGGCUAGGAUUAGAGACACUUGGAGCAGAGCUGAGUCAUCCCAGCUGUCCCAGUUGAGGCCAGCCUAGGUCAGUCGAUGGCAACCAAGCCCUAAGCAUGUUAGUGAGCCCAGCCAUGAUCAGCACAACCACCUAGCCAACCAUCCCAGACCUGUGAUCAAUAAAGCCUUACUAUUCCAUACCACCUAGGUUUUGUGAUUAUUUAUUUCACAGAAUUAUUAUGGCAGUAUGUAACUGAUAGAAGCGGUGUACAGGGAAGAGUAUUUGUUAGUCCGUUUUCACACUGCUGAUAAAGACAUAUGCGAGACUGAGCAAUUUACAAAAGAAAGAGGUUUAAUGGACUUACAGUUCCACGUGGCUGGGGAAGCCUCACAAUUGUGGUGAAAGGUGAAAGUCACAUCUCACAUGGCAGCAGACAAGAGAAGAAGAGCUUGUGCAGGGAAACUCCCCUUUUAAAAACCAUCAGAUCUCAUGAUACUUAUUCACUAUCAUCAGAAUAGCCUGGGAAAGACCUGUCCCCAUGAUUCAGUUACUUCCCACCGUGUCACUCCCACAACAAGUGGGAAUUCAAGAUGAGAUUUGGGUAGGGACACAGCAAAACCAUAUUAGAGCAGAUCUCUGGAAUUGGGCAGGCCAAGGUUUGAAUCCCAUCUGUUAUUUGGAGUGUGUGUUUCUUUUUGAGACUAAUCUCCUUACCCUUGAAAUGAGGUAAUAUACUUCCCUCAUAGGGUUGCUGGGAAGAUUAAACACGAGGUGAAGUAAAUAAAGCCCCAGGGACAUAAGCAAAAAAUAAUGGCUUCUCACAGCAAUGCUCCAGAACAUACAACAAGGGAAUACUGGGCCCAGUCCCAGGACUAUCCAAGUGUGAAGCCAACACCUUUUCACAUCAACUCCAAGGGCACCAUCACAUACACUAUAAUAUGAAUCAUGACCCCCGGAGUUGUGUGGAGUUUCUGCAUCUCUCCCUCCCCACUGUGGCUACCCUCAUCCAGCAACCAUCCUGUCUCUCACCGGUAUUACCGCAGCUGAGACCCAGGUCUUAAGGAAGCUGAGACCCAGGCCAGCAGGGGCCUCACAGGUAGAAUGAAGCUUGGAAAAAGAGGAGGGUGUAAGACUCUGGAUGAAGCUGAGAGAUCCUUCCAUGCUUGGCUGAGAGACUACACAGACAUGAGCUUCAGGAGACUCCAAAGCCUCGGAUCCCCUUCUAAACUAGCACUGAAUUCUGAUUGGCUGUCUUUGCCUGCCUCAGUUUGUUCCUUUUACUGAUUGGCUAGGUUCUUCUGCCCAUGGCAGAGCCCUGCUCCAGCCACCGGAUCCUCCCACCUGCCACAGUGUCACCUGGGAUUGGCUGGGCUCUGAAAGGCCAGGCUGGCUUGACUCUUGCCAUCAUCAGAUUCUUCCUCAUUAAACAAAUGAAUCACAAUCCUAAUUAAUUUGAGCAACAGAAUUUAUGUAACUACUCCCAGCAGGAUGUCUGCUCUCAGUCAGCAGAGAGAUUACUUCCUCUCUCUGGGAAAUUCCAGCCUUGCUGGUCAAUAAGCCUUAAUGAUGACUGAAAUCUCCCAUCUGUCUCUGCUCAGGGCAGGUAACCCCUACUAAGCAGACACCCAGUUGGCUCGAGGCAGUACCCCGGGCACCGGCAGGACAAGGACAACGAUCUCCCAGCCUAGAUGUGUCCUGAGCCACAUGGAGCACACAGAUUACAGGAUCUGACUCCCAUUUGGGCCUUCCACCUCCGCUGGCCUAAGCAGUCAAGUGUCAGAGAGCACUGGACCUAACAGCUCCCUCACCAGAGCAGCUGUGAUUCCUUCUUCAUUUCCAGCAGGGAAGACCCAACAACUUUUAUAAUAUGGGAUUUCUUUUAUUCUCAUGAUAAUAAUGUUCAUUGUGGAAAAUAAAAAAAAAUGAUAAAAUAAAAAUCAGCCAGAAUUCCAACUUCUGGAGAUUUUGGUGUCUUUCUGCAAAGUUCCUAUGCACAUAGAUACUUUAUAAAAUUAUGAACAUACUGUACAUACAGUUUUGGAAUAUGCCUUUUUCCUUCUGUCAUGAAAAAGUCUUCAAAUGCCUUUUAACAGCUACACAAUAGUUCACUACAUGAACCAACUCAAAUGUAACUAUUUUUGGCCUUUUGUUAUAAAUAACACAAGAACCCUCAGUCUUUGUUACAUAAUGUCCUAACAGAGUAGGGGAAAUGCUCCCCAAUCCGGUGCAAUGUCCUGUGCCCAGGGAAACCAAUU